ACACUUUUACCUGUUGUCAUAAAUGUAAAGGGAAGGGUAAACUCCUUUACAAUCCCUCCUGUCCAGAGGAAAAAUCCUCUCACCUGUAAAGGGUUAAGAUGCUAAAGGUAACCUCGCUGGCACCUGACCAAAAUGACCAAUGAGGAGAGA
This is a long non-coding RNA of Chelonia mydas (Green sea turtle), 150 nucleotides long. RefSeq lists it as uncharacterized. The record is from RefSeq and is a predicted model, not a curated record. NCBI's taxonomy places the organism in Eukaryota, Metazoa, Chordata, Testudines, Cheloniidae. The transcript is spliced from 2 exons.